GAGCGUUCUAAGGGCGUCGAAGCAUGAUCGCAAGGACAUGUGGAGCGCUUAGAAGUGAGAAUGCCGGUGUGAGUAGCGAAAGACGGGUGAGAAUCCCGUCCACCGAUUGACUAAGGUUUCCAGAGGAAGGCUCGUCCGCUCUGGGUUAGUCGGGUCCUAAGCUGAGGCCGACAGGCGUAGGCGAUGGAUAACAGGUUGAUAUUCCUGUACCACCUAGUAUCGUUUUAAUCGAUGGGGGGACGCAGUAGGAUAGGCGAAGCGUGCUGUUGGAGUGCACGUCCAAGCAGUAAGGCUGAGUGUUAGGCAAAUCCGGCACUCAUAAGGCUGAGCUGUGAUGGGGAGAGGAAAUUGUUUCCUCGAGUCGUUGAUUUCACACUGCCGAGAAAAGCCUCUAGAUAGAUAACAGGUGCCCGUACCGCAAACCGACACAGGUAGUCAAGAUGAGAAUUCUAAGGUGAGCGAGCGAACUCUCGUUAAGGAACUCGGCAAAAUGACCCCGUAACUUCGGGAGAAGGGGUGCUCUUUAGGGUUCACGCCCAGAAGAGCCGCAGUGAAUAGGCCCAAGCGACUGUUUAUCAAAAACACAGGUCUCUGCUAAACCGUAAGGUGAUGUAUAGGGGCUGACGCCUGCCCGGUGCUGGAAGGUUAAGAGGAGUGGUUAGCUUCUGCGAAGCUACGAAUCGAAGCCCCAGUAAACGGCGGCCGUAACUAUAACGGUCCUAAGGUAGCGAAAUUCCUUGUCGGGUAAGUUCCGACCCGCACGAAAGGCGUAACGAUUUGGGCACUGUCUCAACGAGAGACUCGGUGAAAUCAUAGUACCUGUGAAGAUGCAGGUUACCCGCGACAGGACGGAAAGACCCCGUGGAGCUUUACUGUAGCCUGAUAUUGAAAUUCGGCACAGCUUGUACAGGAUAGGUAGGAGCCUUUGAAACGUGAGCGCUAGCUUACGUGGAGGCGUUGGUGGGAUACUACCCUAGCUGUGUUGGCUUUCUAACCCGCACCACUUAUCGUGGUGGGAGACAGUGUCAGGCGGGCAGUUUGACUGGGGCGGUCGCCUCCUAAAAGGUAACGGAGGCGCUCAAAGGUUCCCUCAGAAUGGUUGGAAAUCAUUCAUAGAGUGUAAAGGCAUAAGGGAGCUUGACUGCGAGACCUACAAGUCGAGCAGGGUCGAAAGACGGACUUAGUGAUCCGGUGGUUCCGCAUGGAAGGGCCAUCGCUCAACGGAUAAAAGCUACCCCGGGGAUAACAGGCUUAUCUCCCCCAAGAGUUCACAUCGACGGGGAGGUUUGGCACCUCGAUGUCGGCUCAUCGCAUCCUGGGGCUGUAGUCGGUCCCAAGGGUUGGGCUGUUCGCCCAUUAAAGCGGUACGCUAGCUGGGUUCAGAACGUCGUGAGACAGUUCGGUCCCUAUCCGUCGUGGGCGUAGGAAAUUUGAGAGGAGCUGUCCUUAGUACGAGAGGACCGGGAUGGACAUACCUCUGGUGUACCAGUUGUCGUGCCAACGGCAUAGCUGGGUAGCUAUGUAUGGACGGGAUAAGUGCUGAAAGCAUCUAAGCAUGAAGCCCCCCUCAAGAUGAGAUUUCCCAACUUCGGUUAUAAGAUCCCUCGAAGAUGACGAGGUUAAUAGGUUCGAGGUGGAAGCGUGGUGACACGUGGAGCUGACGAAUACUAAUCGAUCGAAGACUUAAUCAAUUUUUAAA
RNAcentral lists this ribosomal RNA (1699 nucleotides) under Staphylococcus epidermidis. RNAcentral describes it as "bacterial LSU rRNA". It matches the Rfam family "Bacterial large subunit ribosomal RNA", at positions 1234 to 2925 of the family's 2925-position model. The record is from RNAcentral. Lineage: Bacteria; Bacillati; Bacillota; Bacilli; Caryophanales; Staphylococcaceae.